Molecule: ribosomal RNA, 518 nt
Filed under: uncultured bacterium
Lineage: Bacteria
Description: bacterial SSU rRNA
Rfam family: Bacterial small subunit ribosomal RNA
Source: RNAcentral
GACGAACGCUGGCGGCGUGCCUAACACAUGCAAGUCGAGCGGAGUCGAUCGACGGAAGCCUUCGGGCGGAAGAUGGUUGACUUAGCGGCGGAUGGGUGAGUAACGCGUGGGCAACCUGCCUCGAAGACCGGGAUAACAGCCCGAAAGGGCUGCUAAUACCGGAUGUGGUCAAGGAUCCGCAUGGAUUUUUGAUUAAAGGGGAAACCCGUUUCGAGAUGGGCCCGCGUCCUAUCAGCUAGUUGGUGAGGUAAAAGCUCACCAAGGCGACGACGGGUAGCCGGCCUGAGAGGGUGACCGGCCACACUGGAACUGAGACACGGUCCAGACUCCUACGGGGGCAGGCAGUGGGGAAUCUUCCACAAUGGGCGAAAGCCUGAUGGAGCGACGCCGCGUGAGCGAAGAAGGCCUUGGGUUGUAAAGCUCUGUCUGGAGGACGAAGGAAGUGACGGUACCUCCGGAGGAAGCCACGGCUAACUACCGUAGCCCAAGGCAAGCCGCGGGUAAUAAGUCAACGUGUA